This 143-nucleotide non-coding RNA is filed under the name Chlorocebus sabaeus (green monkey). The record is from Rfam by way of RNAcentral. Lineage: Eukaryota; Metazoa; Chordata; Mammalia; Primates; Cercopithecidae.
GCCGGGCGUGGUGGUGCAUGCCUGUAGUCCCAGCUACUCGGGAGGCUGAGGCAGGAGAAUUGCUUGAACCCAGGGAGGUUGCGAUGAGCUGAGAUCACGCCACUGCACUCCAGCCUGGGUGACAGAGCAAGACUCUGUCUCAA